Non-coding RNA from Caenorhabditis elegans, 181 nucleotides. NCBI's taxonomy places the organism in Eukaryota, Metazoa, Nematoda, Chromadorea, Rhabditida, Rhabditidae. The record is from Ensembl.
AUUCAAUUGCCAAAAUUGAGAGGAUCAAGGAACAUGGCACAGGAAUCGUUGUGUAGGAACAACCAAGUUUGGAGAAAUGCACUCGAACUUGCAAGUUGCUCUUCACUGCCGAGAUGCGCACCUCGAGAAACACUUAUGGUAUUGGGCACUCGGAAUCAUUCUCUUCUUACUAACAGCUUUU